Mastomys coucha (southern multimammate mouse) is the source of this 267-nucleotide long non-coding RNA. RefSeq lists it as uncharacterized. The transcript is spliced from 3 exons. NCBI's taxonomy places the organism in Eukaryota, Metazoa, Chordata, Mammalia, Rodentia, Muridae. The record is from RefSeq and is a predicted model, not a curated record.
GCUUGUGAGUUAAAAGCCUGAAAGCCUAUGAUUCUAGCGCCGGCACCUAGGGAACCCAGGUUAAUGAGACCCAGUUCUCACUAGAGCCCGAAGGGAACAUGUGAUUUGUUCCAGCCAAUCAGAACACCGUGUACUCCAGCCCACUGGCUGGCCAAGAGCAUUCACAAGUUUCAAACCCAGCCAAUUGGGGAACAAUAAAAACCCACACCAGGACCUUGAGAAGUCCUUGCAUGGCAACAACAACAACAACAGCAACAACAACAACAG